CCUACGGGAGGCAGCAGUAGGGAAUAUUGGACAAUGGGCGCAAGCCUGAUCCAGCCAUGCCGCGUGAGUGAAGAAGGCCCUCGGGUUGUAAAGCUCUUUUGUCCGGAAAGAAAAGCAAUCGGUUAAUACCCGGUUGUUCUGACGGUACCGGAAGAAUAAGCACCGGCUAACUUCGUGCCAGCAGCCGCGGUAAUACGAAGGGUGCAAGCGUUACUCGGAAUUACUGGGCGUAAAGCGUGCGUAGGUGGUUCGUUAAGUCUGAUGUGAAAGCCCUGGGCUCAACCUGGGAAUGGCAUUGGAUACUGGCGGGCUAGAGUGCGGUAGAGGGUAGUGGAAUUCCCGGUGUAGCAGUGAAAUGCGUAGAGAUCGGGAGGAACAUCUGUGGCGAAGGCGACUGCCUGGACCAGCACUGACACUGAGGCACGAAAGCGUGGGGAGCAAACAGGAUUAGAUACCCUGGUAGUCCACGCCCUAAACGAUGCGAACUGGAUGGAGGGUUCAACUUGGAACUCAGUAUCGAAGCUAACGCGUUAAGUUCGCCGCCUGGGGAGUACGGUCGCAAGACUGAAACUCAAAGGAAUUGACGG
Molecule: ribosomal RNA, 587 nt
Filed under: uncultured bacterium
Lineage: Bacteria
Description: bacterial SSU rRNA
Rfam family: Bacterial small subunit ribosomal RNA
Source: RNAcentral